RNAcentral lists this non-coding RNA (69 nucleotides) under Craspedostauros australis. Lineage: Eukaryota; Bacillariophyta; Bacillariophyceae; Mastogloiales; Achnanthaceae. The record is from RNAcentral.
UCUACGAGUUCACCAUGGGUGUUGACGGCUCCAAGGUCAAGGGACGUUACACCUUCGUCUACGUGUUCG